GUGCUUGUUUCGGCAGCACAUAUACUAAAAUUGGAACAAUACAGAGAAGAUUGGCAUGGCCCCUGCAGAAGAAUGACACACAAGUUUGUGAAGUGUUCCAUAUUUUU
Small nuclear RNA from Choloepus hoffmanni (Hoffmann's two-fingered sloth), 107 nucleotides. NCBI's taxonomy places the organism in Eukaryota, Metazoa, Chordata, Mammalia, Pilosa, Megalonychidae. The record is from Ensembl.